This 457-nucleotide ribosomal RNA is filed under the name uncultured bacterium. RNAcentral describes it as "partial 16S ribosomal RNA". It matches the Rfam family "Bacterial small subunit ribosomal RNA", at positions 339 to 795 of the family's 1533-position model. The record is from RNAcentral.
CUACGGGCGGCUGCAGUCGAGAAUCUUCGGCAAUGGGCGAAAGCCUGACCGAGCGAUGCCGCGUGCGGGAUGAAGGCCUUCGGGUUGUAAACCGCUGUCAGUUGGGAGGAAGGCUUCGUGAAGAGCGAAGUUUGACCUAUCUUCAGAGGAAGUCCGGGCUAAGUUCGUGCCAGCAGCCGCGGUAACACGAACCGGACAAACGUUAUUCGGAAUUAUUGGGCUUAAAGGGUGCGUAGGCGGCUUCGUAGGUGGGGUGUGAAAUCCCUCGGCUCAACCGAGGAACUGCGCCCCAAACCACGAAGCUAGAGGGAGACAGGAGUAAGCGGAACUGAUGGUGGAGCGGUGAAAUGCGUUGAUAUCAUCAGGAACACCAGUGGCGAAGGCGGCUUACUGGGUCUCUUCUGACGCUGAGGCACGAAAGCUCGGGUAGCGAACGGGAUUAGAUACCCGUGUAGUC